UUAAACACACGAUUGCUCAACAUUAAUUGUUGACAAAAAUCGGAGCCUCAUCAAAUUGAGUUGUUCACCAAAAGGCAAGGCGGUUGGUGGUUCAGGGAACAUCGCGUGCUCCCUACCUGCGGGGUCAUCCAGGUGUCAGCGGGCCUCCAGGGGCCAGUCUGAGGUCCCAAAGGCCCACUGGAGUGGCACCUGGCCUGAGCCCUUCCUCUUACAGCAGAGUGACCGCAGGAGGUCAGGACCACAGAAUGAGAGGGGAAAGAUUUAAUCUCCAUAGGGGACAGGGGGGCAGGAAAUGGAAACCCACCAGUCCCAGAACACCUGUUUGUGCUCGUCUUCGGGGCAGCAGCUCCUAAGACAUGAACAAUUGGACCUCGUCGACAAGCCCUCACCGAGGACCAGAAAUCAAAAAGCAGGCUGAACAGCUUGCCCACCAGCCCCACUGCCCAUCAACCUGCUCGGGGGAAGCCAGAUGAGUGUCCGCUCACAUGACAGGGACAGUGGGCCUUGGGGGAGGGGACCCUGCCACGCUCAUCUGGAUGUGGGUGUGACAUUCCACGGGCACGCAGUGUUCAGCUCCAAUACCUUCCCCCCACCCCCAACCUCCUGCUGAGUGGGGUGGGGAUCUGGGCUCCUCACGGGAUGACGAGGCCCAAAUCCACUGGCUGAAGCUUUUAGAAAUCUGAGCCUGGAAACUCAUGAGCCCGACUUCUCGUUCUAGAUUUUUCCCUUCCUAUCCCACACUUCCUAGUCUGCUCACAAACAAGCUGGCCCAUUCCUCGGGACCAAAGAACAGUCGGCCAGAGCCCCAGACAGCACGUGGUCCAGAUUCUGAGAUGACCACUCGCAUCCAAAUGGAGCCCUUACCACAGAAUGACAACCUCCAGCCCAGCGCUGGGCUGGCCACCCCCAGACCAGGAAAGGGAUGUUGGGCGGGCAGCAGAGAAGAAAGGCACGAACGUCCACAAGAUGAGAUCCAGUCUGUGCAGAUCUGGGCCUCCCCGGCAGCAAACCUACUGUCUGAAGAUGCGUCCUCUCUUUUUUUGUGCACCUGGCCGCUACGGUGUCUAAAGUGACCCCUGAGAAACCUCUGCAUGGGGUCCCUCAAUGUCAGGGCUGCUAAAAAGGUCAGAUGCACAUAUAGUGGCUAAAACUUCCACCGAUCUUUGUGAUUCCAUGCAGAUCAAGGCCAGAAAGCAAGACCGAGAAAGAAGUGGAUCCUGGGCCCAGAACUCCUGCCUCUAUAACAUUUUUCUUUAGGUUCCAAGCAUAGCAACCCAUCUCUGGGGCAAAAAAAGUCAUCUCUGUGGCAAGGCCGGGAAGAUAUGGUAUGUAUGGUCCGUCCAUCCCGUGGAGUAUUACUCAACCAUGACAAGGAAUAAAGCACUGACACAACAGAGAUGAAGCUUAACGUCAUCACCCUGAGUGAGAGAAGCCAGAUGCAAAAGGCCUCCUCAUUAUGACUCCA
Myotis davidii is the source of this 1465-nucleotide long non-coding RNA. RefSeq lists it as uncharacterized. The record is from RefSeq and is a predicted model, not a curated record. The transcript is spliced from 3 exons. NCBI's taxonomy places the organism in Eukaryota, Metazoa, Chordata, Mammalia, Chiroptera, Vespertilionidae.